Molecule: ribosomal RNA, 253 nt
Filed under: uncultured Methylococcus sp.
Lineage: Bacteria; Pseudomonadati; Pseudomonadota; Gammaproteobacteria; Methylococcales; Methylococcaceae
Description: partial 16S ribosomal RNA
Rfam family: Bacterial small subunit ribosomal RNA
Source: RNAcentral
UACGGAGGGUGCGAGCGUUAAUCGGAAUUACUGGGCGUAAAGCGCGCGUAGGCGGUUUGAUCAGUCUGAUGUGAAAGCCCCGGGCUUAACCUGGGAACGGCAUUGGAUACUGUCAGGCUAGAGUGUGGUAGAGGGCAGUGGAAUUCCCGGUGUAGCGGUGAAAUGCGUAGAGAUCGGGAGGAACACCAGUGGCGAAGGCGGCUGCCUGGACCAACACUGACGCUGAGGUGCGAAAGCGUGGGGAGCAAACAGG